GUGCUCGCUUUGGCAGCACAUAUACUAACAUUGGAAUGAUACAGAGAUUAGCCUGGCCCCUGCGCAAGGAUGACACGCAAAUUUGUGAAGCAUUCCAUAUUUAA
Molecule: small nuclear RNA, 104 nt
Organism: Suncus etruscus (white-toothed pygmy shrew)
Lineage: Eukaryota; Metazoa; Chordata; Mammalia; Eulipotyphla; Soricidae
Source: RefSeq, a predicted model, not a curated record